GUAGGGAAUAUUGCGCAAUGGACGAAAGUCUGACGCAGCGACGCCGCGUGAGUGAUGAAGGCCUUAGGGUCGUAAAGCUCUGUUGAAUGGGAAGAAAAAAAUGACGGUACCAUUCGAGGAAGGACCGGCUAACUUCGUGCCAGCAGCCGCGGUAAUACGAGGGGUCCUAGCGUUGUUCGGAAUCAUUGGGCGUAAAGGGUGUGUAGGUGGCCAUGUAAGUCAGGUGUGAAAGCCCCGGGCUCAACCCGGGAAGUGCACUUGAUACUGCGUGGCUUGAGUACCGAAGAGGGUAUUGGAAUUCCAGGUGUAGUGGUGAAAUACGUAGAUAUCUGGAGGAACACCGGUGGCGAAGGCGGCUACCUGGUCGAGUACUGACACUGAGACACGAAAGCAUGGGGAUCAAACAGGAUUAGAAACCCCAGUAGUCC
Molecule: ribosomal RNA, 428 nt
Filed under: uncultured bacterium
Lineage: Bacteria
Description: partial 16S ribosomal RNA
Rfam family: Bacterial small subunit ribosomal RNA
Source: RNAcentral